This 165-nucleotide ribosomal RNA is filed under the name uncultured bacterium. RNAcentral's name for it is "partial 16S rRNA". It matches the Rfam family "Bacterial small subunit ribosomal RNA", at positions 373 to 555 of the family's 1533-position model. The record is from RNAcentral.
GGGCGAAAGCCUGAUCCAGCCAUGCCGCGUGAGUGAUGAAGGCCUUCGGGUCGUAAAGCUCUUUCACCCGGGAUGAUAGUGACAGUACCGGAAGAAUAAUCUCCGGCUAUCUCCGUGCCAGCAGCCGCGGUUAUACUCCGUUGCCCAGCCAGCCGCGGGUUAAUA